Pseudopipra pipra is the source of this 1038-nucleotide long non-coding RNA. RefSeq lists it as uncharacterized. The transcript has 3 exons. The record is from RefSeq and is a predicted model, not a curated record. NCBI's taxonomy places the organism in Eukaryota, Metazoa, Chordata, Aves, Passeriformes, Pipridae.
GCUCGCAGGCACGCGCUGUGCGCUGUGCCCGCGGCCCUCCGAGGGCGGGCCUCGCCGCUCCCCGCCGGGACCCCUCCGGCGACAGGCCCGCGGCGGGGACGUUACUGGGCACAGCCCUCCCUCUCGGAGGGGCUUCGCCAGCCCGUCGGGGAGCGGCCGCUGCCAGCCCGGGGACAAGCAGGGAAAACUGCGCCCUUCGCCCCGAGGGCAGCGCCCCGCCAAUCAGCGACGGGCAUCGCCUUAGCAACAGGGCAACAAACCGCGGCCGGCCAAUCAGGGCGCGGCGGGGGGCGCGGCCGGGCCGAGGCUCAGCGCUCGGGGCGCUCAUUGAAACGCGGCCGGCGGCGGCAGCUCCGCGGGGCGCGCGCUCAUGCCACGGGCGGCUCCUGCGUGUCCGCACGUUCCUGGCACCCAGGAAGUUUCGCUCGGGCGAGUGAUUUUUUUUUGAGGCAGCAGCGACAGGAGAAGGGAAGGAGCCGCAAGUAAGUCACCUCGUUAGUGAGGUGUGCGCGAGGCAUUAAUUAAAGAAUAAAUAAAUAAAGCCCCCAGCUCUGCUACUGAGUUAAGUUCAAGAAUGGUCGGUGAUGGGCUCAGUGCCGCCCAGAGCUGUUCAAAAAAUUACAUUUUUUUUCUUCCCCGAAAAAAGGAGAAAUACCGCAUCGCUGCAGUGCAUAUGAUGCAUAUUUAAGAAAAAGAAAAGGGUGUUAUUCUUUCAAGUUUUGAAGUGAAGCCACUGGUAGUAGUUUCAGUAAGAGAAUUUUGCCCUGCUACUAGGUGCAAAAGACAACUUCUAGCUGAGACAAGCUUUGCACAAGUCCUGACUCAAUCUGGUGGGACUCUGCCUGUGAGACGAGAUGGAACACUUGCUGCUCAAGCACCAUGAAGCUACUGGGUUGAAUUUGUUUGACACAGACGAGGACACAGAGUCAGACCUGUACAUCAUUAAUUCAGCCACCAGCAGCUAACUCUGCCCCUGCAUUCAACUAGCUCUGAUCACUGAGCUCACUGAUCACAAUUAAAAAGGUUUAUUUUGAAAAA